RNAcentral lists this ribosomal RNA (431 nucleotides) under uncultured bacterium. RNAcentral's name for it is "partial 16S ribosomal RNA". It matches the Rfam family "Bacterial small subunit ribosomal RNA", at positions 29 to 507 of the family's 1533-position model. The record is from RNAcentral.
AACGAACGCUGGCGGCAGGCCUAACACAUGCAAGUCGAGCGCCCUUUCGGGGGAGCGGCGGGCGGGUGAGUAACGCGUGGGAAUAUGCCCUUCUCUACGGAAUAGCCUCGGGAAACUGAGAGUAAUACCGUAUACGCCCUAUGGGGGAAAGAUUUAUCGGGGAAGGAUUAGCCCGCGUUGGAUUAGGUAGUCGGUGGGGUAAUGGCCUACCAAGCCGACGAUCCAUAGCUGGUUUGAGAGGAUGAUCAGCCACACUGGGACUGAGACACGGCCCAGACUCCUACGGGAGGCAGCAGUGGGGAAUCUUAGACAAUGGGGGCAACCCUGAUCGAGCCAUGCCGCGUGAGUGAUGAAGGCCUUAGGGUUGUAAAGCUCUUUCAGCUGGGAAGAUAAUGACGGUACCAGCAGAAGAAGCCCCGGCUAACUCCGUG